RNAcentral lists this ribosomal RNA (492 nucleotides) under uncultured bacterium. Its description in RNAcentral is "partial 16S ribosomal RNA". The stretch from base 54 to 492 matches the Rfam family "Bacterial small subunit ribosomal RNA", at positions 27 to 507 of the family's 1533-position model. The record is from RNAcentral.
GGGGGGGGGGGGGGGGGGGGGGGGGGGGUGGGGGUCGGGCGGGGGGGGGGUGGGGGGGGGCUCGGGCGGGGGGCGGGUGGCGGGCGGGGGCGGAGUGCAUCGGACUCUACUUUUUCGUGGGGGAUCGCGUAGGGAAACUUACGCUACUACCUCAUACGACCUACGGGUGAACGCAGGGGAUCUUCGGCCCUUGCGCAAUUGACUGCGCCGAUGUCGGAUUAGCUAGUUGGCGGGGUAAAGGCCCACCAAGCCGACGAUCCGUAGCUGGUCUGAGAGGAUGAUCAGCCACACUGGAACUGAGACACGGUCCAGACUCCUACGGGAGGCAGCAGUGGGGAAUAUUGGACAAUGGGCGCAAGCCUGAUCCAGCCAUACCGCGUGGGUGAAGAAGGCCUUCGGGUUGUAAAGCCCUUUUGUUGGGAAAGAAAAGCAGCAGGUUAAUACCCCGCUGUUCUGACGGUACCCAAAGAAUAAGCACCGGCUAACUUCGUG